ACAGCAGCCGCCGCGGUAAUACGAAGGUCCCGAGCGUUGUUCGGAAUCACUGGGCGUAAAGGGAGCGUAGGCGGCGUGGUAAGUCAGAUGUGAAAUCCCGGGGCUCAACCCCGGAACUGCAUCCGAUACUGCCAUGCUAGAGGAUUGGAGAGGUAGCUGGAAUUCUUGGUGUAGCAGUGAAAUGCGUGGAGAUCAAGAGGAACACUCGUGGCGAAAGCGAGCUACUGGACAAUAACUGACGCUGAGGCUCGAAGGCCAGGGUAGCGAAAGGGAUUAGAUACCCGCGUAGUCCCUGUCUCUUAUAC
RNAcentral lists this ribosomal RNA (305 nucleotides) under uncultured bacterium. Its description in RNAcentral is "partial 16S ribosomal RNA". It matches the Rfam family "Bacterial small subunit ribosomal RNA", at positions 508 to 807 of the family's 1533-position model. The record is from RNAcentral.